UGCGGAUGUACAGAAGUACAGUCGAAAAAAGGUUUGUCGCAAGAAGUCAGCAGAAGCCAUAGUAAUGAAAUAAAUUCAUGAAGGGC
Non-coding RNA from Bacillus sp. SA1-12, 86 nucleotides. The record is from Rfam. Lineage: Bacteria; Bacillati; Bacillota; Bacilli; Caryophanales; Bacillaceae.